This 485-nucleotide ribosomal RNA is filed under the name uncultured bacterium. RNAcentral describes it as "bacterial SSU rRNA". It matches the Rfam family "Bacterial small subunit ribosomal RNA", at positions 29 to 529 of the family's 1533-position model. The record is from RNAcentral.
AAUGAACGUUGGCGGCGUGGAUUAGGCAUGCAAGUCGAGCGCUCAUAGCAAUAUGGGAGCGGCGAACGGCGUAGUAAUAUGUAGGAACGUACCCUCGGGUCGGGGAUAGCCAUGGGAAACUGUGGGUAAUACCCGAUAAUCUCUGCGGAGCAAAGGUGUGAUUCCGCCUGAGGAGCGGCCUACACGAUAUUAGCUAGUUGGUAGGGUAAUGGCCUACCAAGGCUACGAUGUCUAGGGGGUGUGAGAGCAUGGCCCCCACGACCGGAACUGAGAUACUGUCCGGACACCUACGGGUGGCUGCAGUCGAGAAUCUUCCGCAAUGGACGAAAGUCUGACGGAGCGACGCCGCGUGCGGGAUGAAGGCCCUUGGGUUGUAAACCGCUGUCAGAGGGGAUGAAAUCUUCGGAGGUGCUCCUCCAAAGUUGACAGAGCCUCAAAGGAAGCACGGGCUAAGUACGUGCCAGCAGCCGCGGUAAAGUCACAUG